RNAcentral lists this ribosomal RNA (351 nucleotides) under Triticum aestivum (bread wheat). RNAcentral's name for it is "partial small subunit ribosomal RNA". The record is from RNAcentral. Lineage: Eukaryota; Viridiplantae; Streptophyta; Magnoliopsida; Poales; Poaceae.
AUGAUGUUGGCUAUGGGCCUGGGGGUGUCGAUGCAGUCUCCUGGUCCAGCGGCAUCGUCCACCGUCUCUAUUGCGUUGAAGAGCGCCGCUUCGUCUACGGUCACUUUCGCCGGGCGCGUUGUCCAACGCCUCGACAACACCAGGUACGAGAGGAGCGCCCCUUCGUCCACGGCCACCUCCCUUGGGCGCGUCGUCCGCCGCCUCGACAACACCUGUAUGAGAAGAGCACCUCUUCGUCCGCGGCCACCUCCGUUGGGCGUGUCGUUCGCCUCCUCAACUCUGAGAAGAGUGAUGCAUCGUCCUCGGCCACCUCUGCUAGGCGCGUCGUGCGGAGGUCAUUCUGCAAAAUAG